GCGGGGAUAGCUCAGCUGGGAGAGCGUCAGACUGAAGACAAACUUCGGUUCGAAAUCUGAAGGUCGGGUGUUCGAUCCACCCUCACCGCA
Non-coding RNA from Orbilia blumenaviensis, 90 nucleotides. The record is from the annotation of a GenBank genome assembly. NCBI's taxonomy places the organism in Eukaryota, Fungi, Ascomycota, Orbiliomycetes, Orbiliales, Orbiliaceae.